AACACCGCGAAAGCGGUGCUAAUACCGCAUAACAUCUUCGGGUCGCAUGACCUGAAGAUCAAAAGCGCAAGUUGCUUGAGGAGGGGUUCGCGCCUGAUUAGCUAGUUGGUGAGGUAACGGCCCACCAAGGCGACGAUCAGUAGCCGGCCUGAGAGGGCGAACGGCCACACUGGAACUGAGACACGGUCCAGACUCCUACGGGAGGCAGCAGUGGGGAAUUUUGCGCAAUGGGCGAAAGCCUGACGCAGCAACGCCGCGUGGAGGAUGAAGGCCUUCGGGUCGUAAACUCCUGUCAGUGGGGACGAAUGCUUCGCAAGAAGUUUGACUGUACCCGCUGAGGAAGCCACGGCUAACUCCGUGCCAGCAGCCGCGGUAAUACGGAGGUGGCAAGCGUUGUUCGGAAUUACUGGGCGUAAAGGGCGCGUAGGCGGCAUUGCAAGUCAGAUGUGAAAGCCCCGGGCUUAACCUGGGAAUUGCAUCUGAAACUGUUUUGCUUGAGUCCUGGAGGGGAUAGUGGAAUUCCCAGUGUAGCGGUGAAAUGCGUAGAUAUUGGGAGGAACACCUGCGGCGAAGGCGGCUAUCUGGACAGUGACUGACGCUGAUGCGCGAAAGCUAGGGGAGCGAACGGGAUUAGAUACCCCGGUAGUCCUAGCUGUAAACGAUG
Molecule: ribosomal RNA, 664 nt
Filed under: uncultured Acidobacteriota bacterium
Lineage: Bacteria; Pseudomonadati; Acidobacteriota
Description: bacterial SSU rRNA
Rfam family: Bacterial small subunit ribosomal RNA
Source: RNAcentral